RNAcentral lists this long non-coding RNA (411 nucleotides) under Marmota monax (woodchuck). The record is from RNAcentral. Lineage: Eukaryota; Metazoa; Chordata; Mammalia; Rodentia; Sciuridae.
GAUUUUUUUUUAAUUGGAAGGGAAUUCUCUCCACAACACAAAGUUCCUAGCUCUGUUAUUUCUGAUGCCUUUGGCAACCUCAGUUCCCAGGAGAUGUGAUUUUCCAGUAUGUCCUUUCCUUGGUGCCUUGGCAUCCUCUGAUGAGCAGCUCCAAGUAGAUCCUUCCCCUGACCUUAGGGAGAGGACUUUCACAGGCACCCAAAGUCAUUUUACUAUGAGCCUUAUCUUCCUCCUAUUCUUUUUAUUAUUGGUAUGAUAUGAUAUGGUCCUGUUUCCCACCCCCACACACUCCCCAAACCCUAUACCCCGCUAAGAGUCCAGACAGAUUACAAAUUCUUUUCUGCUGGUUCACAGAACUUUAGAGGGAUGCAUCAGAAUGGGAACUCUGGAGAGGGAAAACCUUGGAAAUGA